GUGGUUGCCACUAAGAAUUCAGUGGGGGAGGAUGAAUAGGUUGUCUUCCUUGGCUUGUGAUGCUAGUGCAGUCAGCAUGAUUGACUUGCCUGCAGCAGAUGGGACUUGAGCUGUGUUUUCUGACGUCAAUCAACCACUCCCAUUCUCUAGUGGAGAAGCAUCUGGAAGGUUUCGUGCUUUAGUGUGCAGUGUUGCUCAGAACUUUCCCCUUCCCUUCAUACAGUGAGAAAGAACUGUCUGCUGUCUAGGCUUUUUGGGAACGCUGAUUUUUCUAGGUGGACAAUGUUCUCUUCAUUUGUAUAGAGCUAGAAACUGUUUCACCUUAAUUAUUAAAGGUAAUACAGAAGAGAAUCACUUUCUAAGUAAACAAUGUGUCAGUGAGACACCUCAGAAGGCGUAGAAUCAGCAUCUCCCCUUGGACUUGGAGAGCAGAGGCAGCAAGCUAUGUGACCAAUGCCGCAGGUCUUUCUACAUUUUCAUGUGUUCUAGAAUAGAACCAUGCUGCUUCCUAGAAAGUAGGCCCAGUACCUGCUUUGCUUCGAGCUGUUCCCCGGCGGACUGAAUCUUCUCUUUUGGUAUCAUCUCAUCAGUACCAGAAAACAUUUGCUAACCUGGAGCAGAAGAACAGAACUCAAAGAGGGACAUCUCAGCUUUCAACCACUAAGGCAUGGUAUGCCAGUGGCAGAAGACAGCACAAACAGAAGGAUGAGAAGAGAGGAACUGAACUUUAAUAAAAAACAUUGAACAGGUAGCCUGACUGUGGGGUCCUUACACUCUGUAAAGAGCACUGGUAAGCAAGUGACUUUCCUUUUACAGCGGUAUCAGCAAAAGCCAUAAAACAAAGGUGCAGAGCAGGCUCAGAGGGUAAAGUAUUUAAUGGUCAAGGGUAAGGAUCUGAGUUUGGAGCUCUAGCACCCAUGGUGAACUGAGACUUGUGUCAUCUCAUUGCUACCUGCAUAAAAGGGAUAUAGGCAUGCGUUUCUGGUGAGGUUGCAUUGGUCAGUCGGUGAAACUUAAAUGAGAAGCUUCAGGUACAGUAAGAAACUCUGUCUUGAAAAUAAAGGAGAAAGCAAUAGAUCACUCUUCCCAAUGCUGUGACCCUUUCGUACAGGUCCUCAUGUUGUGGUGACCCCAACCACAAAAUUCAUUUUGUUGUUGCUCUAUAACUAAUUUUGCUACUGACCAGUGUCUUGGUUCCUAAGACGGUUGGAAAUAUGUGUUUUCCAAUGGCUGUGACCCAAAGAUUGAGAACUGUUGCAAUAGAGGAAGAUGCUCACUGUCAUUAUCUGACUUCCAAAAACAUAAAUAUGGGCGAGAUCACCAAUAUACAUACAUUUCUACAACACACACACACACACACACACACACACACACACACACCACUUACACACAUUGAGCAAACAAGCCAUUUAAAAAUAGGCUAUGGAUGUUUCACUGACAAACUUGGCAUUAAGUUUCAUCACACAAUUUUCACAUUAAGUACACCAUCAACAUCCAGUAUUUGAGGUCCCUCAGUGUGUUCAGAUGUCAUUUGUAUUAACUUGCUAUCCCCAUUCUGGUUGGACAAGGAGGGGAUGAGAGAGUAUUUUCAACACGUCCUCUUCAUUCUCUGCUUGAUUUUGGUUUCAAAUGUCUAUUUUCACUGGGAGUUGGGAGGCAGAGGCAGGGGGAUCUCUGUGUUUGAUGCCAGUCAGUUCCAGGACAGACACGGCUACACAGAUUAGUCCUGUUUUGAAAAAUCAGGAAGAAAGAAAGAAAGAAAGAAAGAGAGAGAGAGAGAGAAACAAAGAAACAAAGAAACAAAGAAAGAAAAGGAGGGAAGAAAAGGAAGGAAGGAAGAGAAAGGGUAAAUGUCUGCUUCUCCUUUAUGAUUUCUUAAUAUUAUUACUAACCCAAUUACCUAAAACAGACAUUUUGAUGUAAGAAAUUGUCACGGAAGAAACUAACCACCCCUAGUUCUCACUGUCUCAGGAUUAUUUUCAUUUUUCUACCCUCCAUGGGCUUAAAGCAGUGCCAGGUGCAUUUACAACAGUAUGGGGUGAGAUUUUGAAAAUGGAGACAAGAAAAGCAGAGUGAUGCUGGCUCAAUUCAGACCAGGGGCAGAGACCGCAGGCAAAGUAACACGCACCCAUGACCGCAAUCUUUCUGAGAGGCUAACUACUGAAUCAGCCCAAGAAGUGCUAGCUGAUGAGCGACGGGGAAAAGGAAUGACGAUAGCCUUCUUGAGGAAUUAGAAUUCAGUUUCUGCUGUAGGUAUCCCUGCAUCUCAGUUACUCAGCCAUGCUUCAGGUGGAGCGAAGGGACGAAGCAAUCAGUAGGAAGGCAGAGAGAGGGCUGGUGUAGAAGCACUCCCACUCUGUUAAUCUAAUUUUGAGGCAUGAAGCGUUCUUCAAAAUCCAGGAAAUGAAUGUAUUGUUCUUCUGUGUGAAUUUUUACCCACCCCCUUUCCUCCAGAAGAGAGGAGAGGAUAACAUUAUAAGGGAUCAGAACUUAGUGAAAAUGUUGCUUUUUUUUUUCCGGUGGGUUAGCGGUGACACUAGUGAUCAGGGCACUUUAGGCAAUUCAAGUUCCCACACAUCCUAUCUGCCCAUGAGCAAAAGGAUCGAGGUGGCGUUUAUACCCUCUAACAGCUCCUGGGAGGAUAGCUCUGACAACAAGCGCAUUACUCACUGGUGAUGUGAGAGCCAAGUUCAUGGCUUCUAGCCAGGCACACUCUGUCACUGGACAUCUCAGGGUCAGGGUAACCCACCGCUCUGAGAAACUUCUGCCAACUCAGCCUUGAGUCCUCCUGGCAGAGGAAAGAGUGAAGGCUGCUGAUCCCAGCUGUCCUCAAGUCCAGUGUCCUUCACACUCUGGAUGGCUGUGGCUUUAAAGUCAAUUGUCCCAGCAGGCCGGUACACUCUCGCCAAGUCUCCACCGAGACCCUUGAUCUGUGUUCCUUGUCUCCCUUUACCCCCUUGCUCACCCAGCAGGCACACCUGCUGAGGAGCGGGUGGACCACGGCCAAACCCAUGGCUUCCUCUCUGACUCACAUAACCGCAGUGUGUUUGCGUUUCAUGCCCUCUGUAUCUCUAAUCGCACCAUAUGACGAUGCUGCUUCUCAUUUGUCUGCUCCUCGCUAUGUAGAUCUUUGUGGUUGCAGCACCCAAUUCGUACCUGACAGAGGGAAAAUAACCAUCCAGGAGAUCCUCAUGACUAAUCAGAUCAUGGGAUUAUUCCAAAAAUGAAAUAGUAAAUGAGAUAUUAAUUAUAAUUAUUUAAAUCAAACGAAUUAAAAUGAGAUAUUAAUUUAAAUAUUAACCAAAAAACCAGAAAACAUAGUACGUACUCAUAUGUAUUUUUAAUUUUAUUCUUUUUAAGUUAAAAGUAGAUGGUUUUUCAUAUAAUCUAGUCUAAGUAUGAUUUCUUCUCCCCAAUGCUCCACCCACUCAAAUCUACACCCUUUUGUUCUCUCUAUCUCAUUAGAAAGCAAACAGGCCAUCUAAAAACAAUAAUAAAAUAAGAAAAUUAAUAAAACCAAGCAAACUAGCAGAAGACAAAAAAAAUCCAAGAAACAAGAGCAUAAGAAUUAAUAUAAACUGAGAGACUCACAGGUUAACACACACAUAAUUCCAUAAAAACACAAUACUAGAAACCGUAAAGUAUAUGCAAAAGACAUGCAAAGGAAUAAUAAAUGCAAAAACAAAAACAACGUUCAGACCAAGUAUUGUGGAACAAGGAACCUUUAAAAAGACCAUUGAGUUAAUUUUGUGUUGACCAUCAAUUGCUGGACAUGGACCUGGGCUUGGGUAUAGUUUAUAUACCCAGUGAGACUCCAUUGGAGAAAAUUGUUCUUUCUUUUGUGAGUGGUUAUCAACUGGAGAUAGCUUCUGGGUGGGGGAUGGGACCUUGUGUCCACUUCUCUCAGCACUGGGACUCCUCUCUGGGUCAG
Non-coding RNA from Rattus norvegicus (Norway rat), 3931 nucleotides. Lineage: Eukaryota; Metazoa; Chordata; Mammalia; Rodentia; Muridae. The record is from RefSeq and is a predicted model, not a curated record.